GAUGAAGAACGUAGCGAAAUGCGAUAAGUAAUGUGAAUUGCAGAAUUCAGUGAAUCAUCGAGUCUUUGAACGCACAUUGCGCCCCCUGGUAUUCCGGGGGGCAUGCCUGUCCGAGCGUCAUUGCUGCCCUCAAGCACGGCUUGUGUGUUGGGCCGUCGUCCCCCUCCUAGGGGACGGGUCCGAAAGGCAGCGGCGGCACCGCGUCCGGUCCUCGAGCGUAUGGGGCUUCGUCACCCGCUCCGUAGGCCCGGCCGGCGCUUGCCGACGACCAUCAAUCUCUUUCUCCAGGUUGACCUCGGAUCAGGUAGGGAUACCCGCUGAACUUAAGCAUAUCAAUAAGCGGAGGA
RNAcentral lists this unclassified non-coding RNA (347 nucleotides) under soil metagenome. Its description in RNAcentral is "partial contains 5.8S ribosomal RNA, internal transcribed spacer 2, and large subunit ribosomal RNA". The stretch from base 1 to 120 matches the Rfam family "5.8S ribosomal RNA", at positions 35 to 154 of the family's 154-position model. The record is from RNAcentral.